RNAcentral lists this long non-coding RNA (453 nucleotides) under Sus scrofa (pig). Its description in RNAcentral is "lncRNA (ENSSSCG00070007028.1)". The record is from RNAcentral. Lineage: Eukaryota; Metazoa; Chordata; Mammalia; Artiodactyla; Suidae.
GGCAAAGGACACAGAGGGAGCUGUCAUGCAUAAAGUUAUCAGCACUCAAGAUGAAAAACGGAAGCCCUUCCUCGAGGCAGUCCACCUGCCUGGCAAACAGUUGUUUUUUUAAGUAGAACUAUUUAGGAGCACCUAUGGGUUAGAUAUGGGCUUCUGCUCUCCUCCACCACCCACAACCAUCUGCAGGAGUUACGUGCCAGAAUGGGAAUUGCGGGCGAGCAGGGACUUUGUUGUGCUCGAGAUGGAGCCUCCAGCACCGAGGACAGUGGCGGAUGCACAGUCGGGGCAGUAAACCUCUGCGCAGAUUUUGAGUUGGAGUUGGGAGCGCCUCUCCUUCAAGACAGUCCCAUCAUCUACUUGGGCACCAGUGGGACAGAGGUCAUUACCAAAAAUUCUGGGGAAGAAGAAAAAUUGGCAGGUACUAUAUUCAGGAAUAAGAAUGUUAAGAUAUGA